GAUUAGUAGAUGGAUUGAGCGGUUGGAUAUGACCGCGAGGAGAAGGAUAGCAAAGGAGGGAACUUUUGGACGCCGACACUGAUCGAUGGACUUUAAGUGUAUGACUAUUGGAAGAGACGUCGGUCAUCUUUUGAAGUAUAGCCUAGUAUAGAAAACUAUGGCAUUUUGAUGUACCGAUGAAUGAUGUCCAUCUGCUCUAUGUAAAU
This 206-nucleotide long non-coding RNA is filed under the name Eucalyptus grandis. RNAcentral describes it as "long non-coding RNA (EGRA_LNC004936)". The record is from RNAcentral. Lineage: Eukaryota; Viridiplantae; Streptophyta; Magnoliopsida; Myrtales; Myrtaceae.